RNAcentral lists this ribosomal RNA (255 nucleotides) under uncultured bacterium. RNAcentral describes it as "partial 16S ribosomal RNA". It matches the Rfam family "Bacterial small subunit ribosomal RNA", at positions 524 to 776 of the family's 1533-position model. The record is from RNAcentral.
UACGUAGGUGGCAAGCGUUGUCCGGAUUUACUGGGCGUAAAGGGCGCGUAGGCGGUCGUGACAAGUCACUUGUGAAAUCUCCGGGCUUAACUCGGAACGGUCAAGUGAUACUGUCGGACUAGAGUACAGAAGGGGCAACUGGAAUUCUCGGUGUAGCGGUGAAAUGCGUAGAUAUCGAGAGGAACACCUGCGGCGAAGGCGGGUUGCUGGGCUGAUACUGACGCUGAGGCGCGGAAAGCCAGGGGAGCGAACGGG